UACGAAGGGUGCAAGCGUUACUCGGAAUUACUGGGCGUAAAGCGUGCGUAGGUGGUUCGUUAAGUCUGUCGUGAAAGCCCCGGGCUCAACCUGGGAAUGGCGAUGGAUACUGGCGGGCUAGAGUGCGGUAGAGGAGAGUGGAAUUCCUGGUGUAGCGGUGAAAUGCGCAGAUAUCAGGAGGAACACCGAUGGCGAAGGCAGGUCUCUGGGCCACUACUGACGCUGAGAAGCGAAAGCAUGGGGAGCGAACAGG
Molecule: ribosomal RNA, 253 nt
Filed under: uncultured bacterium
Lineage: Bacteria
Description: partial 16S ribosomal RNA
Rfam family: Bacterial small subunit ribosomal RNA
Source: RNAcentral